Non-coding RNA from Pelobates cultripes (western spadefoot toad), 288 nucleotides. Lineage: Eukaryota; Metazoa; Chordata; Amphibia; Anura; Pelobatidae. The record is from the annotation of a GenBank genome assembly.
AUCCACAACGUGCAGAGUUUUUAGCCUGAAGCUGUCCAAAAUAUUCUGUCUGAGUAUCUCGUAAUUUAUAUUUAGACAACAAUUGGAAAGCUCCUGGUUGGGACCAGUAAAAAAAAUGUGAUCCCCAAUUGCUCCCUAGGCAUAGAACGCUGUUUAACAAUUUACUGGUGGCACCUAACAGCUCCAUGGGAUCUUUUCAUGUGGUAUCUAGAACAUCCUUGGUUAUUGCUUCUGCUGUUUGAGCUAUGUUGCUGCUAGUAAUGUAGCCCACCAAUACUUUUGGUAGAG